AAUACCCAAAACAGAGUUUAGACCAAAAGUUAAGCAAUAUCCUUUAAAAACAGAUGCACAGGAGGGUAUAAAACUAGAAAUUAAAGAUCUUAUUGUGGCAGGAGUCAUAGUGCAGUGUGAAAAUUCUUCAUGUAACACUCCUAUUUUUCCUGUUAAAAAAACAACUUGUAUAAGUGGGCUGCUAUAUUGAGCCAUGGCGUUUUUGCAUGUCUCAACUGGGGGGAUGGUAAGAUAGAUACAUUAACAUUACUCAAUAGAAACAGGCUCUAACUGAUAAGAGGCAUUGCUCCGAUAACAACAAAUUGUAGUAUGCAACCGAUUCUAGAUAGUUUCACAAUCAGUCUUUUUAAACUGACCAAAACUUUAGGAUAGAUAAAAUAUUAUUAAAUCUACAGGAAUUAUGGAUGAAUAAGA
Molecule: long non-coding RNA, 414 nt
Organism: Xiphophorus hellerii (green swordtail)
Lineage: Eukaryota; Metazoa; Chordata; Actinopteri; Cyprinodontiformes; Poeciliidae
Exons: 2
Source: RefSeq, a predicted model, not a curated record